Molecule: long non-coding RNA, 1104 nt
Organism: Mus musculus (house mouse)
Lineage: Eukaryota; Metazoa; Chordata; Mammalia; Rodentia; Muridae
Product: predicted gene, 41423
Exons: 3
Source: RefSeq, a predicted model, not a curated record
CAGGACACUGUGCCUCCUCAGAAACAGGAGGGUUUGAUUGGUCAGUAUAAUUGCACAGUGGAAAAGGAGCCUGAAGACCUGGAACUUGAGGGAUCCAGUUCUUUCCAAACCCUGCACUGCUCCAGAAUAUUUUAUAAGGUUCCACAUGUGAUGACAUGCUCCAGAAACUGGUAACACAGUAGAUGCUUCUGCCAGGAGACGUGGAACUGGAUACCUUUGCUCAUCAGGAAGAGAGAGAGGUUGUGAUUCCAAGGUUGAUUUUGCAUAAAUUGUGAGGUUAUGUUGAGAUCACAUGGAGGUUCACUUGAAUGUCUAUUUCAACUUUGUUUGAUUGGCGGCCUCUCAGCUUUCAGUUCUGCAUAUAUCAGCUUCACCACUUGUACCCCAUCCAUGUUCUGCACAGAAGACUGGAAAGGAAACGGUCAAACUUCUAAAAACUAUUUUUAUUUCUAUUUUGUUGGACAGAAGUAUGUUAUUUGGGUAAUAAUUUUACACUGGGCAAAUAGGAAUUCUUUGUUGUUUUCUAGUGGAAAUAAUGCUAUCCAAAAUAAAUCAGAACUAUGUGAGUAAAGAUGUGAGGAUUUGUGUGGUAUUGGUAGAUAGGUAGAUGGUAGAUAGGUAGAUGGUCUAUAGGUAGAUGAUUGGAAGUUUGGUAGAUUGGGAGAUAGAUAGAUGGUGAAUUGGGAGUUUGGUAGAUUGGGAGAUAGAUAGAUGUUGGAUAGGUAGAUUGGGAAAUAGGUAGAUGACUGAUAGGCAGAUGGUAGAUAGGUAGAUUGGGAGUUUGGUAGAUUGGUAGAUAGGUAGACGGUAGAUUGGGAGUUUGGUAGAUUGGGAGAUAGCUAGAUGGUAGAUAGGUAGAUGAGAGAUAGGUAGAAGGGGAGAUAGGUAGAUAGGAGGUAGGUAGAUGGAAGAUAGGUAGAUGGUUGAUGGUAGAUGCUGUGAGUGGCUUUGCACAGCAUCUUGAAUCACUCAGUACUGCUUUUAUGUCAUUCCCCUUUAAGUCUUACUUCCUCAAAUAUACAUUCCUUCUUCACUUAUGCCUAAUGUGAGAUGUAAACCAAAUAUACAUUAUUAUUAAUUUUAUUAAUAACAAUAUUCUACUUA